GGCUUCCUGGCGCAAUGGUUAGCGUGUUUGGCUUCGAUCGCUUAACAGCUCCUAGACACCAAGAGGUUGUCGGUUCAAGUCCGGCGGAAGUCU
This is a transfer RNA of Plicaturopsis crispa FD-325 SS-3, 93 nucleotides long. It matches the Rfam family "tRNA". Rfam says of the family: Transfer RNA (tRNA) molecules are approximately 80 nucleotides in length. Their secondary structure includes four short double-helical elements and three loops (D, anti-codon, and T loops). The record is from Rfam. NCBI's taxonomy places the organism in Eukaryota, Fungi, Basidiomycota, Agaricomycetes, Amylocorticiales, Amylocorticiaceae.